Molecule: ribosomal RNA, 246 nt
Filed under: uncultured bacterium
Lineage: Bacteria
Description: partial 16S ribosomal RNA
Rfam family: Bacterial small subunit ribosomal RNA
Source: RNAcentral
UGACGAAGGGGGCUAGCGUUGCUCGGAAUUACUGGGCGUAAAGCGCACGGUAGGCGGUCUUUUAAGUCGGGGGUGAAAUCCUGGAGCUCAACUCCAGAACUGCCUUCGAUACUGAAGACUUGAGUCCGGGAGAGGUGAGUGGAACUGCGAGUGUAGAGGUGAAAUUCGUAGAUAUUCGCAAGAACACCAGUGGCGGAAGGCGGCUCACUGGCCCGGUACUGACGCUGAGGUGCGAAAGCGUGGGGA